Molecule: ribosomal RNA, 395 nt
Filed under: uncultured bacterium
Lineage: Bacteria
Description: bacterial SSU rRNA
Rfam family: Bacterial small subunit ribosomal RNA
Source: RNAcentral
GUGUCAGCAGCCGCGGUAACACGGGGGGAGCAAGCGUUGUUCGGAAUCACUGGGCGUAAAGGGCGUCUAGGCGGUCAGGUAAGUGGGACGUGAAAUACCUCGGCUCACCCGAGGAGCGGCGUCCCAAACUGCUUGGCUUGAGUAUGGGAGAGGAUGUGGGAAUUCCUGGUGUAGCGGUGAAAUGCGUAGAUAUCAGGAGGAACACCGGUGGCGAAGGCGCACAUCUGGCCCAAUACUGACGCUGAAGCGCGAAAGCUAGGGGAGCAAACGGGAUUAGAUACCCCGGUAGUCCUAGCCGUAAACGGUGAUCACUAGGUGUUGGAGGCAUCGACCCCUCCAGUGCCGCAGCUAACGCAUUAAGUGAUCCGCCUGGGGAGUACGGCCGCAAGGUUGAA